Long non-coding RNA from Herpailurus yagouaroundi (jaguarundi), 167 nucleotides. RefSeq lists it as uncharacterized. NCBI's taxonomy places the organism in Eukaryota, Metazoa, Chordata, Mammalia, Carnivora, Felidae. The record is from RefSeq and is a predicted model, not a curated record. The transcript has 3 exons.
AUUAGUUUUGCUUCUCUUCCCUUGUGUUCAUCUGUUUUGUAUCUUAAAGUCCUCAUAUGAGUGAAGUCUUAUGACAUUUGUCUUUCUCUGAAUGACUAAUUUCACUGAGCAGAAUACCCUCUAGUUCCAUCCAUCCGUACUAUUGCAAAUGGCAGGAUUUCAUUCUU